RNAcentral lists this ribosomal RNA (482 nucleotides) under uncultured bacterium. RNAcentral describes it as "partial 16S ribosomal RNA". It matches the Rfam family "Bacterial small subunit ribosomal RNA", at positions 30 to 507 of the family's 1533-position model. The record is from RNAcentral.
AUUGAACGCUGGCGGCAUGCCUUACACAUGCAAGUCGAACGGUAACAGGUCUUCGGAUGCUGACGAGUGGCGAACGGGCGAGUAAUACAUCGGAACGUGCCCGAUCGUGGGGGAUAACGAGGCGAAAGCUUUGCUAAUACCGCAUACGAUCUACGGAUGAAAGCGGGGGAUCUUCGGAGCUCGCGCGGGCGGAGCGGCCGAUGGCAGAUUAGGUAGUUGGUGGGAUAAAAGCUUACCAAGCCGACGAUCUGUAGCUGGUCUGAGAGGAUGAUCAGCCACACUGGGACUGAGACACGGCCCAGACUCCUACGGGAGGCAGCAGUGGGGAAUUUUGGACAAUGGGCGAAAGCCUGAUCCAGCCAUGCCGCGUGCAGGAUGAAGGCCUUGGGGUUGUAAACUGCUUUUGUACGGAACGAAAAGCCUCUUUCUAAUAAAGAGGGGUCAUGACGGUACCGGAAGAAUAAGCACCGGCUAACUACGUG